UUAAAGUAUAGUUGUAGAUUUCUGUGUCCAACAUUUUACCAUCCAUUUUAUUUAAAAAUUUCUAUGAUUAAUAUUUUUUUUCUAUUAGAUGAUAAAAUAUAAAUAGUAUUUUAUGUAUGGCUUAUUUUUUUUAUAAAAAGUUUUAAAUAAGAUGACAACCAAAUGUUGAACAUAAAUACCUACCGCUACGUUUAAA
Molecule: non-coding RNA, 196 nt
Organism: Oryza nivara
Lineage: Eukaryota; Viridiplantae; Streptophyta; Magnoliopsida; Poales; Poaceae
Source: Rfam